This 492-nucleotide ribosomal RNA is filed under the name uncultured bacterium. Its description in RNAcentral is "partial 16S ribosomal RNA". It matches the Rfam family "Bacterial small subunit ribosomal RNA", at positions 29 to 507 of the family's 1533-position model. The record is from RNAcentral.
AGUGAACGCUGGCGGUAGGCCUAACACAUGCCAGUCGAACGGCAGCACAGUAAGAGCUUGCUCUUACGGGUGGCGAGUGGCGGACGGGUGAGGAAUACAUCGGAAUCUACUUUUUCGUGGGGGAUAACGUAGGGAAACUUACGCUAAUACCGCAUACGACCUACGGGUGAAAGCAGGGGAUCUUCGGACCUUGCGCGAUUGAAUGAGCCGAUGUCGGAUUAGCUAGUUGGCGGGGUAAAGGCCCGCCAAGGCGACGAUCCGUAGCUGGUCUGAGAGGAUGAUCAGCCACACUGGAACUGAGACACGGUCCAGACUCCUACGGGAGGCAGCAGUGGGGAAUAUUGGACAAUGGGCGCAAGCCUGAUCCAGCCAUACCGCGUGGGUGAAGAAGGCCUUCGGGUUGUAAAGCCCCUUUGUUGGGAAAGAAAAGCAGCAGGUUAAUACCCCGCUGUUCUGACGGUACCCAAAGAAUAAGCACCGGCUAACUUCGUG